Molecule: non-coding RNA, 50 nt
Organism: Trichobilharzia regenti
Lineage: Eukaryota; Metazoa; Platyhelminthes; Trematoda; Strigeidida; Schistosomatidae
Source: Rfam
GUACUACUGAAGAGUCCCAAACUAGGACGAAAUAGUCGGCUGUCCAGUAC